AGUGAACGCUGGCGGUAGGCCUAACACAUGCAGGUCGAACGGCAGCACAGUAAGAGCUUGCUCUUACGGGUGGCGAGUGGCGGACGGGUGAGGAAUACAUCGGAAUCUACUUUUUCGUGGGGGAUAACGUAGGGAAACUUACGCUAAUACCGCAUACGACCUACGGGUGAAAGCAGGGGGUCUUCGGACCUUGCGCGAUUGAAUGAGCCGAUGUCGGAUUAGCUAGUUGGCGGGGUAAAGGCCCACCAAGGCGACGAUCCGUAGCUGGUCUGAGAGGAUGAUCAGCCACACUGGAACUGAGACACGGUCCAGACUCCUACGGGAGGCAGCAGUGGGGAAUAUUGGACAAUGGGCGCAAGCCUGAUCCAGCCAUACCGCGUGGGUGAAGAAGGCCUUCGGGUUGUAAAGCCCUUUUGUUGGGAAAGAAAAGCAGCAGGUUAAUACCCCGCUGUUCUGACGGUACCCAAAGAAUAAGCACCGGCUAACUUCGUG
Molecule: ribosomal RNA, 492 nt
Filed under: uncultured bacterium
Lineage: Bacteria
Description: partial 16S ribosomal RNA
Rfam family: Bacterial small subunit ribosomal RNA
Source: RNAcentral